UGGUUAAAGCCUUCGGGCGGUAGAAGAUGGCCAUGCGCCCCAUUAGCUGGAUGGUAAGGUAACGGCUUACCAUGGCUACGAUGGGUAGGGGCCCUGAGAGGGGGAUCCCCCACACUGGUACUGAGACACGGACCAGACUCCUACGGGAGGCAGCAGUGAGGAAUAUUGGACAAUGGAGGAGACUCUGAUCAGCCAUGCCGCGUGCAGGAAGAAUGCCCUAUGGGUAGUAAACUGCUUUUAUACGGGAAGAAAAAGGGCUACGUGUAGCCUGUUGACGGUACCGUAAGAAUAAGGACCGGCUAACUCCGUGCCAGCAGCCGCGGUAAUACGGAGGGUCCGAGCGUUAUCCGGAAUUAUUGGGUUUAAAGGGUCCGUAGGCGGGCCGGUAAGUCAGUGGUGAAAGUCUGUAGCUCAACUAUAGAAUUGCCUUUGAUACUGCUGGUCUUGAGUUAUGGUGAAGUUGCCGGAAUAUGUAGUGUAGCGGUGAAAUGCAUAGAUAUUACAUAGAACACCGAUUGCGAAGGCAGGUGACUAACCAUAUACUGACGCUGAUGGACGAAAGCGUGGGGAGCGAACAGGAUUAGAUACCCUGGUAGUCCACGCCGUAAACGAUGGAUACUAGCUGUCCGGGUCCUUGAGGCCUGGGCGGCCAAGCGAAAGUGAUAAGUAUCCCACCUGGGGAGUACGUUCGCAAGAAUGAAACUCAAAGGAAUUGACGGGGGCCCGCACAAGCGGUGGAGCAUGUGGUUUAAUUCGAUGAUACGCGAGGAACCUUACCAGGGCUUAAAUGCAUAUUGACAGGGGUAGAGAUACCUUUUCCUUCGGGCAAUUUGCAAGGUGCUGCAUGGUUGUCGUCAGCUCGUGCCGUGAGGUGUCAGGUUAAGUCCUAUAACGAGCGCAACCCCUACCGUUAGUUGCCAGCAUGUCAUGAUGGGGACUCUAACGGGACUGCCGGUGCAAACCGUGAGGAAGGUGGGGAUGACGUCAAAUCAUCACGGCCCUUACGUCCUGGGCCACACACGUGCUACAAUGGCAGGUACAGAGAGCAGCCACGUCGCAAGGCGGAGCGAAUCUAUAAAACCUGUCACAGUUCGGAUCGGGGUCUGCAACUCGACCCCGUGAAGCUGGAAUCGCUAGUAAUCGGAUAUCAGCCAUGAUCCGGUGAAUACGUUCCCGGGCCUUGUACACACCGCCCGUCAAGCCAUGGAAGCCGGGAGUGCCUGAAGUCCGUCACCGUAAGGAGCGGCCUAGGGCAAGAUCGGUAACUAGGGCUAAGUCGUAACAAGGUA
This 1289-nucleotide ribosomal RNA is filed under the name metagenome. RNAcentral describes it as "bacterial SSU rRNA". It matches the Rfam family "Bacterial small subunit ribosomal RNA", at positions 198 to 1498 of the family's 1533-position model. The record is from RNAcentral.